This 279-nucleotide ribosomal RNA is filed under the name uncultured bacterium. RNAcentral's name for it is "partial 16S ribosomal RNA". It matches the Rfam family "Bacterial small subunit ribosomal RNA", at positions 506 to 784 of the family's 1533-position model. The record is from RNAcentral.
UGCCAGCAGCCGCGGUAAUACGGAGGGUGCGAGCGUUAAUCGGAAUUAUUGGGCGUAAAGCGCGCGUAGGUGGAUUGUUAAGUCAGAUGUGAAAGCCCCCGGCUCAACCUCGGAAUAGCAUUUGAAACUGGUCAUCUAGAGUACUGUAGAGGGGGGUAGAAUUUCAGGUGUAGCGGUGAAAUGCGUAGAGAUCUGAAGGAAUACCAGUGGCGAAGGCGGCCCCCUGGACAGAUACUGACACUCAGAUGCGAAAGCGUGGGGAGCAAACAGGAUUAGAUA